CAGCAGCCGCGGUAAUACGUAGGUGGCAAGCGUUGUCCGGAAUUAUUGGGCGUAAAGGGCUCGCAGGCGGUUUCUUAAGUCUGAUGUGAAAGCCCCCGGCUCAACCGGGGAGGGUCAUUGGAAACUGGGAAACUUGAGUGCAGAAGAGGAGAGUGGAAUUCCACGUGUAGCGGUGAAAUGCGUAGAGAUGUGGAGGAACACCAGUGGCGAAGGCGACUCUCUGGUCUGUAACUGACGCUGAGACGCGAAAGCCAGGGGAGCGAACGGGAUUAGAUACCCGUGUAGUCCCUGUUCUCUUAUA
Molecule: ribosomal RNA, 301 nt
Filed under: uncultured bacterium
Lineage: Bacteria
Description: partial 16S ribosomal RNA
Rfam family: Bacterial small subunit ribosomal RNA
Source: RNAcentral